RNAcentral lists this ribosomal RNA (301 nucleotides) under uncultured bacterium. RNAcentral describes it as "partial 16S ribosomal RNA". It matches the Rfam family "Bacterial small subunit ribosomal RNA", at positions 509 to 810 of the family's 1533-position model. The record is from RNAcentral.
CAGCAGCCGCGGUAAUACGGAGGGUGCGAGCGUUAACCGGAAUAACUGGGCGUAAAGGGCACGCAGGCGGUGACUUAAGUGAGGUGUGAAAGCCCCGGGCUUAACCUGGGAAUUGCAUUUCAUACUGGGUCGCUGAGUACUUUAGGGAGGGGUAGAAUUCCACGUGUAGCGGUGAAAUGCGUAGAGAUGUGGAGGAAUACCGAAGGCGAAGGCAGCCCCUUGGGAAAAUACUGACGCUCAUGUGCGAAAGCGUGGGGAGCAAACAGGAUUAGAUACCCGGGUAGUCCCUGUCUCUUAUAAA